Candidatus Delongbacteria bacterium GWF2_40_14 is the source of this 73-nucleotide non-coding RNA. The record is from Rfam. Lineage: Bacteria; Candidatus Delongiibacteriota.
GCUUACUUAGCUCAGGCGGUAGAGCACUUCCUUGGUAAGGAAGAGGUCAGCAGUUCAAGUCUGCUAGUAAGCA